UGUAUUGCUUCUUAAUGCUUCUAUAAUGCCUUGGCCUUAUUAGUAGUUACCAUACUGAAUUUAAUAAUACUUGUGUUGCCCCAUUUAACUUGAGUUUGUGACAAAGGUGCUUUCAUUGAGAGACUCUCCUUCCGCAAUGGGUGACGAUUUUGUUGAAGAUGAACUGGGCGAUCCAAGUUGCAAUUAAAGAAUUGACUACUACAAUAAAACAAUGCUCUUCUCAUAUGAAGGCAAGUAGGAAUCAUAUGAUUACCAGAAUGGAAUCAAUUGAGUUCUAAAUCGAGCACCAUCCUCAAGUCCAAUGAGGAAACAAGACCUCUGACUUCCAUAGAGCAAGGUCGACAUCAAAUUGAUCUUCCUCGUCUCGACCGGCUAGGGGAUAUAAUUGCAGCAAGGAAUCAGUAUGAAUCUUCUAGACUCGACUGUAUUGAGGUUAGACUUACAGAGAUGAUGAAUCAUCUAGGAUUAGCUGUUAAAUGUCCAUCUCCUUAGACUUCAAGCUUCGUAGUUCAGCCCUUUCCUUGGUAUUUCAUUGAGAUUUAAGUUCCUUUACCCACAAAUAUUUAGAUGCAACCACUCUUUGAACAAAGUGACGACUGAUUCCACCCUUGAGAGCAACCAUUAAGCAGAAGGAUGGGCCUCCGACGCCUCCAUGUUGCCUCUUCCAAUUGACACCACCAUUUCAUUUUGGGCCGAAGUAAUCCCAGCACAAUUAGGGCCUCUAUUGACCUAUUGCACCUGCUCGGACCCGCAAAUGAUUUUGAUAUGCUAGAAGGAGUUCGCCGCCGAGAUGUUAACAAGCUAAGGGGGUUUGGUGGUCAUCAGGUCGUUGUUCUCACGAGUGACGAUUUAUCUGAAGCUUCCUUUAGGUGCGUAUCUUAGUUACACUAAUGUUUCUAGUUCUAUCACAAUUCUCUUUCAUUCUUGAUAGAGAUGUCUCUGCCAGUUAUUUUCCUCCAUGGAAGGAAAACCUUCAGACUUUUGCUCACAAUGAAGUCAGUUUUGAUCGCAGUGAUGUCCCUGACCAUGUCUUUCUUCUUCAAGCUUCGUUGCAUGAUCAAAGGAUUAUUCACCACUUGAUCCAUUUUAUUAUAUUCGAUCCCAUCAUCCCAGUAUAUACAUUUCUCUUCCUCUUCUAAUGAGAUGUAGUCUACCGGCAUUAUGGUUAAGUAUCAUGAUUCUGGAGAUUUCUCAUGGUAUGGGAUUGUUUUUAGUAGGUUUCUUAUUAAACGACGAUGGUUUUUCACUUGUCUGAUUGUUAAUCUAAUAUUUGAUCCUAGUCCUACUAUUAACCUUCACUGUUGCAAUUUUAUUGGGAUUGCUAAACCAUAUUGCAUUUUGUGCAAUUCAUUAAUUUUUGAGUAUGGGACUUAUUCUGGAAAUGGUACAAAAAUACAUUUUGAUAGCUUCAUCAAUCUCAUAACAGUGAUGAUUGUGCACAAAAGAUCUCUCCGUGGCAUUGCCAAAUUUUAUUGUUUUGUGGAUAUGGCUUUUAUUCUAUUCCAUUUUUCUAGAGUUGAAUUUCAAUGUUGGCAGUGGAUUAUUGAUUUAGAUGUCAUGCUAGUUCUCGCUCCAAGCAUCCUUAUUACUCUAUUGUUUUUUCGGCAAUUAUACCAUUGCAAAUAUGUUAUCAUGGGUUUUUUCACUUGAUUUUGAUGGUUGAAAUGGCGUUUGUGUUACUUCCAUUUAAACUCAAGUACAUGUGCAACACAGAUCUUGGUACCCUUUUAUCUUGAUUCUUGGCCAGAAGUUGCUUCAAAAAUACUUCUAUUUUCUACAUGGAUUUUUGAUCCCGGAAUUACCGAGAGAGUUGGGCAUUUGUAUUUAAUAGUCUCGGUUCUUCCUUCAGCUCAUUUUUACACGUUACUCUUAGUAUGAGCUUUGACUAAGCUCAGCAAUAUGAUACCUUCUUGGGGGUUUCAUGUCCCAGCCAAUUUCUACAUGUUAAUGGAACUAGGAAUUGUAAGCCAUCCUUAUGCUGUAUCAUCUAGUAAAAUUUGUCAUUUUCAUGCACCAUUUAAGCUCAAGUUCAUAUGCAAUGUGGGCCUUGGUAACAUUUUAUCUUGGGGAGAAGUUGCUUCAAUGUUACUUUUAUGUUUCUUAUUAUUGGUUUUUGACCUUAGAAUUACAUCUAUUUUCGACAUGUUGAUGGAAUCUGGUGCUAUAAGUCAUCUUUAUGUUGAUUCAUCAAACUAAACUAGUCAUCUUUAUGCCACUUAUACUUGUGUUGUUCAUUAUGAUUGGGUCAUUCUGUACACAAACUCCCUUGAUAUCUCUAAAUUCUCACGAGUGUUUGACAUGGGUCACACAUUCAUCCUAGUUGAUUGGAUUUUUAGGCUUAAACGCUUUCUAGGUGCUACUCUCCCUUAUCUAUGCUCUAGGUUAGAGUGGAACACACUUAAAGAUGAAAAUACUAAUGGGUACCCUCUCUUCCAAGAAAGUUGAUGGUCAUUUUUCCUAUUGGACUUGACAAGGAUGCAAAGAACUUAUGCAUUCAACUCCAAGAUUUUUCAGUCUCUUAUAUUUUAACGUCUUGGAAUGGUUUGGAUCUGCCUACAAGGUACACUUUGCUUGGUUUAUAUGCUUCUUCUCUACCUUUUGACCUUGAGGACAAGGUCAAAGUCCCUGGGGGGAGUAAUGUCACGAUAUGGAGUGUGAACAUAUUAAGUGAUGAUGUGGCAAAGUUUGUUAGAAGAAAAGAUUGGGUGAAAGAAGAAAUGUGUGAAUGGUGUGAGCAACUCUUUAGCUAUAAAAAGGAAGAGGACGAAGCUAUGUGGUGUGGAUUGUUUUGCAAACCUUUCUCUCUAUUUGCUUUCUUCCUUUUCUGGACCUUCUUCUCUGUAUUUCCCUUUUUGUAAUUGCUUCUUAGUGCUUUUGUAAUGCCUUGGCCUUAUCAGUAGCUACUAUACUAAAUUUAAUAAUACUUGUUUUUUCCCAUUUAA
This is a long non-coding RNA of Prosopis cineraria, 2942 nucleotides long. RefSeq lists it as uncharacterized. Lineage: Eukaryota; Viridiplantae; Streptophyta; Magnoliopsida; Fabales; Fabaceae. The transcript has 2 exons. The record is from RefSeq and is a predicted model, not a curated record.